This is a ribosomal RNA of 375 nucleotides. It matches the Rfam family "Eukaryotic small subunit ribosomal RNA", at positions 582 to 975 of the family's 1831-position model.
AUUCCAGCUCCAAUAGCGUAUAUUAAAGUUGUUGCAGUUAAAAAGCUCGUAGUUGAACUUCUGGCUAUUCUUCCAGCUGGCUUCGGUCGCUGUAAGAGUGGUCAUCCGCUUGGGAACUACGUUCGAACUUCACUGUUCGGCGUAAGGAACAGGCAUUUUACUUAGAAAAAAUUAGAGUGUUCAAGGCAGGCUAUCGCCCUGAAUACACAAGCUUGGAAUAAUGAAAUAGGACUAUUUCCAUUUUAUUGGUUAUUGGAAUUAGUAAUGAUUAAUAGGGACAGUUGGGGACAUUAGUAUUUAAUUGUCAGAGGUGGAACUCUUGGAUUUAUUAAAGACGAACUAGUGCGAAAGCAUUUGCCAAGGAUGUUUUCAUUA